Molecule: ribosomal RNA, 497 nt
Filed under: uncultured bacterium
Lineage: Bacteria
Description: partial 16S ribosomal RNA
Rfam family: Bacterial small subunit ribosomal RNA
Source: RNAcentral
GAUGAACGCUGGCGGCGUGCCUAAUACAUGCCAGUCGAGCGAACAGACGAGGAGCUUGCUCCUCUGACGUUAGCGGCGGACGGGUGAGUAACACGUGGAUAACCUACCUAUAAGACUGGGAUAACUUCGGGAAACCGGAGCUAAUACCGGAUAAUAUAUUGAACCGCAUGGUUCAAUAGUGAAAGACGGUUUUGCUGUCACUUAUAGAUGGAUCCGCGCCGCAUUAGCUAGUUGGUAAGGUAACGGCUUACCAAGGCAACGAUGCGUAGCCGGCCUGAGAGGACGACCAGCCACACUGGGACUGAGACACGGCCCAGACUCCUACGGGAGGCAGCAGUGGGGAAUUUUGGACAAUGGGCGCAAGCCUGAUCCAGCAAUGCCGCGUGCAGGAAGAAGGUCUUCGGGUUGUAAACUGCUUUUGUACGGAACGAAACGGCUCUGGUUAAUACCCGGGGCUAAUGACGGUACCGUAAGAAAAAGCACCGGCUAACUACGUG